CAAUAGCGUAUAUUAAAGCUGUUGCGGUUAAAAAGCUCGUAGUUGGAUUUCUGUCAAGGACAACUGGUCCGCCCUCCGGGUGAGCACAUAGUUUGGUCUUGACAUCUUGCUGGAAGCUGUUGCUGCACUUGGCUGUGUGGCGCAGUGUUCAGCACUUUCACUUUGAGGAAAUUGGAGUGUUUCAAGCAGGCACAUGCCUUUGGACACAGUAGCAUGGAAUAAUUAGAUUGGGCUUUUGCUCCAAUUUGUCGGUUUCUGGAGCUGAGGUGAGUAUUAAUGGGGAUUGUUGGGGGCACCCGAAUUUAGCCGUCAGAGGUGAAAUUCUUGGAUCUGCUAAAGACGGACAACUGCGAAAGCGUUUGCCCAGGAUGUUUUCAUUG
Molecule: ribosomal RNA, 380 nt
Filed under: uncultured eukaryote
Lineage: Eukaryota
Description: partial 18S ribosomal RNA
Rfam family: Eukaryotic small subunit ribosomal RNA
Source: RNAcentral